ACUCAAAUGAAUUGACGGGGGCCCGCACAAGCGGUGGAGCAUGUGGUUCAAUUCGACGCAACGCGAAGAACCUUACCCAGGCUCGAAAUGUAGUGGACAAAUGUGGAAACACAUUCUCUCCCUUCGGGGAGUCGUUAUAUAGGUGCUGCAUGGCUGUCGUCAGCUCGUGUCGUGAGAUGUUGGGUUAAGUCCCGCAACGAGCGCAACCCUUGUCGUUAGUUACCAGCGGGUAAUGCCGGGGACUCUAUCGAGACUGCCUGUGAUAAACAGGAGGAAGGUGGGGAUGACGUCAAGUCCUCAUGGCCCUUACGUCUGGGGCUACACACGUGCUACAAUGGCCGGUACAGAGAGAAGCAAGACCGCGAGGUGGAGCCAAUCUUCAAAACCGGCCCCAGUUCGGAUUGGAGUCUGCAAUUCGACUCCAUGAAGUUGGAAUCGCUAGUAAUCGCGGAUCAGCACGCCGCGGUGAAUACGUUCCCGGGCCUUGUACACACCGCCCGU
RNAcentral lists this ribosomal RNA (501 nucleotides) under uncultured bacterium. RNAcentral's name for it is "partial 16S ribosomal RNA". It matches the Rfam family "Bacterial small subunit ribosomal RNA", at positions 899 to 1397 of the family's 1533-position model. The record is from RNAcentral.